This 445-nucleotide ribosomal RNA is filed under the name uncultured bacterium. RNAcentral's name for it is "partial 16S ribosomal RNA". It matches the Rfam family "Bacterial small subunit ribosomal RNA", at positions 354 to 796 of the family's 1533-position model. The record is from RNAcentral.
GUAAGGAAUAUUGGUCAAUGGACGAAAGUCUGAACCAGCCAUGCCGCGUGGAGGAUGAAGGUCCUCUGGAUUGUAAACUUCUUUUAUAUGGGACGAAAAUGGGGCUUUCUAGCUCAACUGACGGUACCAUAUGAAUAAGCACCGGCUAACUCCGUGCCAGCAGCCGCGGUAAUACGGAGGGUGCAAGCGUUAUCCGGAUUCACUGGGUUUAAAGGGUGCGUAGGUGGAUUGGUAAGUCAGAGGUGAAAUCUACGGGCUCAACUCGGAAACUGCCUUUAAUACUAUCAAUCUUGAAUAUUGUGGAGGUUAGCGGAAUAUGUCAUGUAGCGGUGAAAUGCUUAGAUAUGACAUAGAACACCAAUUGCGAAGGCAGCUGGCUACACAUAUAUUGACACUGAGGCACGAAAGCGUGGGGAUCAAACAGGAUUAGAAACCCUUGUAGUCC